RNAcentral lists this long non-coding RNA (464 nucleotides) under Brassica rapa (field mustard). RNAcentral describes it as "long non-coding RNA (BRAP_LNC000667)". The record is from RNAcentral. Lineage: Eukaryota; Viridiplantae; Streptophyta; Magnoliopsida; Brassicales; Brassicaceae.
UGUAAACGUUCUUCCUCUUCCUCCGUUUCUCCGUCACCGGCUCCUUCUCCUUCUCCUUCUCCGCCGCCUCCUCUUUCAACGUCACUUCAAAAGUUUAAGGUGAAAAUUACAGAUUUGACCCCGGAUAUAGCCAUAAAUUACAAAUAAAUAUCACCACCAACCCUCAAAUAAUAUUUUUUAAAGAAUCUUUUAUCAUCAUCAUAUUCAUGUAACUUCUACAAAUAUUAUUUUAAUUUUUCUAAUUUACUAAAACUAAGUAUAUUCCAAAUAUUGAUUUUUCCCCAAUUUCAUUUAUUAUUAUGAUUAAUUUAAUAGUACCUUGUUGGUUGGUGGAUUGAGUCUUGGAUGUGGAAUGGAAACCCCAGAAAUCGUCGGCGGCGGAAGCAUCGAGCUCUGACCAGAGUUCCUCCGCCGUGAGUUUCCUACCCUUAGCCUUGGUGACGUUAGGGGCAAAAUCGGAAAUU